UUUCCGGUUGAUCCUGCCAGAGGUUACUGCUAUCGAGAUUCGAUUAAGCCAUGCGAGUUGAAUGUUCUUCGUGAACAUGGCGGACUGCUCAGUAACACGUGGACAACCUACCCUUGGAUCUGGGAUGAACCCGGGAAACUGGGCAUAAUACCGGAUAAGCCACAUAUGCUGGAAUGCUUUGUGGCUCAAAGCUCCGGCGUCCAAGGAUGGGUCUGCGGCCUAUCAGGGUAGUAGUGGGUGUAAUGUACCUACUAGCCUACGACGGGUACGGGUUGUGAGAGCAAGAGCCCGGAGAUGGAUUCUGAGACACGAAUCCAGGCCCUACGGGGUGCAGCAGGCGCGAAAACUUUACAAUGCGGGAAACCGCGAUAAGGGAAUCUCGAGUGCCAGCAUAUAAUGUUGGCUGUCCAGAUGCCUAAAAAGCAUUUGUUAGCAAGGGCCGGGCAAGACCGGUGCCAGCCGCCGCGGUAACACCGGCGGCCCGAGUGGUAACCGUUAUUAUUGGGUCUAAAGGGUCUGUAGCCGGCCGAAUAAGUCUCUUGGGAAAUCUGGCAGCUUAACUGUCAGGCAGUCAGGGGAUACUGUUCGGCUUGGGACCGGGAGAGGUGAGAGGUACCUCGGGGGUAGGGGUGAAAUCUUGUGAUCCUCGAGGGACCACCAGUGGCGAAGGCGUCUCACCAGAACGGGUCCGACGGUAAGGGACGAAAGCUAGGGGCACGAACCGGAUUAGAUACCCGGGUAGUCCUAGCCGUAAACGAUGCUUGCUAGGUGUCAGCCACGGUGCGACCGUGGUUGGUGCCGUAGGGAAGCCGUGAAGCGAGCCACCUGGGAAGUACGGCCGCAAGGCUGAGACUUAAAGGAAUUGGCGGGGGAGCACUACAACGGGUGGAGCUGCGGUUUAAUUGGAUUCAACGCCGGGA
RNAcentral lists this ribosomal RNA (920 nucleotides) under uncultured archaeon. RNAcentral describes it as "bacterial SSU rRNA". It matches the Rfam family "Archaeal small subunit ribosomal RNA", at positions 1 to 923 of the family's 1478-position model. The record is from RNAcentral.